RNAcentral lists this ribosomal RNA (379 nucleotides) under uncultured organism. RNAcentral's name for it is "partial 16S ribosomal RNA". It matches the Rfam family "Bacterial small subunit ribosomal RNA", at positions 527 to 896 of the family's 1533-position model. The record is from RNAcentral.
GUAGGUGGCAAGCGUUAUCCGGAAUUAUUGGGCGUAAAGCGCGCGCAGGCGGUUUCUUAAGUCUGAUGUGAAAGCCCACGGCUCAACCGUGGAGGGUCAUUGGAAACUGGGGAACUUGAGUGCAGAAGAGAAAAGCGGAAUUCCACGUGUAGCGGUGAAAUGCGUAGAGAUGUGGAGGAACACCAGUGGCGAAGGCGGCUUUUUUGGCCUGUAACUGACGCUGAGGCGCGAAAGCGUGGGGAGCAAACAGGGAUUAGAUACCCUGGUAGUCCACGCCGUAAACGAUGAGUGCUAAGUGUUAGAGGGGUUUUCCGGCCCCCUUUUAGUGCUGCAGCUAACGCAUUAAGCACUCCGCCUGGGGAGUACGGUCGCAAGACUG